This 301-nucleotide ribosomal RNA is filed under the name uncultured bacterium. Its description in RNAcentral is "partial 16S ribosomal RNA". It matches the Rfam family "Bacterial small subunit ribosomal RNA", at positions 509 to 807 of the family's 1533-position model. The record is from RNAcentral.
CAGCAGCCGCGGUAAUACGUAGGCGGCAAGCGUUGUCCGGAAUUACUGGGCGUAAAGGGCUCGCAGGCGGUUUCUUAAGUCUGAUGUGAAAGCCCCCGGCUCAACCGGGGAGGGUCAUUGGAAACUGGGAAACUUGAGUGCAGAAGAGGAGAGUGGGAUUCCACGUGUAGCGGUGAAAUGCGUAGAGAUGUGGAGGAACACCAGUGGCGAAGGCGACUCUCUGGUCUGUAACUGACGCUGAGGAGCGAAAGCGUGGGGAGCGAACGGGAUCAGAUACCCGCGUAGUCCCUGUCUCUUAUAC